AGAACGAACACUGGCGGCGUGGAUAAGACAUGCAAGUCGAACGCUGACUUUCAGGUAGCAAUAUUUGGAAGUCGGAGUGGCGCAAGGGUGUGUAACACGUGGGUAAUCUGCCGUGAAGACUGGGAUAACUCGCUGAAAGGCGAGCUAAUACCGGAUGUGAAUGUAAAUUCAAAGUUGGGGACCGCAAGGCCUGACGCUUUACGAUGAGCCCGCGGCCUAUCAGCUAGUUGGUGAGGUAACGGCUCACCAAGGCUAAGACGGGUAGC
RNAcentral lists this ribosomal RNA (266 nucleotides) under uncultured bacterium. RNAcentral describes it as "partial small subunit ribosomal RNA". It matches the Rfam family "Bacterial small subunit ribosomal RNA", at positions 26 to 287 of the family's 1533-position model. The record is from RNAcentral.